AGUGAACGCUGGCGGUAGGCCUAACACAUGCAAGUCGAACGGCAGCACAGUAAGAUCUUGCCCUUACCGGUGGCGAGUGGCGGACGGGUGAGGAAUACAUCGCAAUCUACUUUUUCUGGGGUGACAACGUAGGGAAACUUAUGCUACUACCGCAUACGACCUACGGGUGAAAGCAGUGGAUCUUCGCACUUUUCGCGAUUGUUUGAGCCGAUGUCGGAUUAGCUAGUUGGCAGGGUAAAGGCCCACCAAGGCGACGAUCCGUAGCUGGUCUGAGAGGGUGAUCAGCCACACUGGAACUGAGACACGGUCCAGACUCCUACGGGAGGCAGCAGUAGGGAAUAUUGGGCAAUGGGCGAAAGCCUGAUCCAGCAAUACCGCGUGAGUGAAGAAGGCCUUCGGGUUGUAAAGCCCUGUUGUUAGGAAAGAAAAGCAGCGGGUUAAUACCCGGAUGUUCUGACGGUACCCAAAGAAUAAGCAACGGCUAACUUCGUG
RNAcentral lists this ribosomal RNA (492 nucleotides) under uncultured bacterium. Its description in RNAcentral is "partial 16S ribosomal RNA". It matches the Rfam family "Bacterial small subunit ribosomal RNA", at positions 29 to 507 of the family's 1533-position model. The record is from RNAcentral.